RNAcentral lists this transfer RNA (75 nucleotides) under Candidatus Peregrinibacteria bacterium CG10_big_fil_rev_8_21_14_0_10_42_8. RNAcentral's name for it is "tRNA-Glu". It matches the Rfam family "tRNA". Rfam says of the family: Transfer RNA (tRNA) molecules are approximately 80 nucleotides in length. Their secondary structure includes four short double-helical elements and three loops (D, anti-codon, and T loops). RNAcentral also lists the same sequence under 1 other name. The record is from RNAcentral. Lineage: Bacteria; Candidatus Peregrinibacteriota.
GGCCCGUUCGUCUAAUGGUUAGGACGCCAGGUUCUCAUCCUGGUAACAGGGGUUCGAUUCCCCUACGGGCUACCA